RNAcentral lists this ribosomal RNA (497 nucleotides) under uncultured bacterium. RNAcentral's name for it is "partial 16S ribosomal RNA". It matches the Rfam family "Bacterial small subunit ribosomal RNA", at positions 28 to 507 of the family's 1533-position model. The record is from RNAcentral.
GAUGAACGCUGGCGGCGUGCCUAAUACAUGCAAGUCGAGCGAACGUACGAGAAGCUUGCUUCUCUGAUGUUAGCGGCGGACGGGUGAGUAACACGUGGAUAACCUACCUAUAAGACUGGGAUAACUUCUGGAAACCGGAGCUAAUACCGCAUAAUCUCUUGAACCGCAUGGUUCAAAAGUGAAAGACGUUCUUGCUGUCACUUAUAGAUUGAUCCUCGCUGCAUUAGCUAGUUGGUAAGGUAACGGCUUACCAAGGCAACGAUGCAUAGCCGACCUGAGAGGGUGAUCGGCCACACUGGAACUGAGACACGGUCCAGACUCCUACGGGAGGCAGCAGUAGGGAAUCUUCCGAAAGGGGGGAAAGCCUGACGGAGCAAAGCCGCGUGAGUGAUGAAGGUCUUCGGAUGGUAAAACUCUGUUAGUAGGGAAGAACAUAUGUGUAAGUAACAGUGCACAUAUUGACGGUACCUAAUCAGAAAGCCACGGCUAACUACGUG